Cimex lectularius (bed bug) is the source of this 1515-nucleotide long non-coding RNA. RefSeq lists it as uncharacterized. The record is from RefSeq and is a predicted model, not a curated record. Lineage: Eukaryota; Metazoa; Arthropoda; Insecta; Hemiptera; Cimicidae. The transcript is spliced from 3 exons.
UAGAUAAAGAUUAAUUAAUUGAAAGAAGUUAUUUGGUCAAUUGGACCACACAAUACUUAUUUACUUAUUUAAGCACUUAAAGUGGCCACCGUACACGAAGUUUAAUUUGGUAUGAAUUAUUAAUAUUUGUUAAACCUUACUCCAAUUUCAAUUUUUUUCCAAUCAAACCCUCCCCCUCCAAAAAAAUUAAUUUAAAAAAAAAUUAAAUAUUGCUAUGGCCAACAUGGUUUUCUGCUCAAACCUCAGGAAGGGCCAUCACCGAUUUGUGCCCUUUACAUUUUCAAAAGCAUUGUAAUUUAAUAUUAAGAUACAUUUUUUGGAAGACUGCCGCCUUUUUACCUCGGUUUCUGUGUGCUGUUCAUUAUAGCAUUUUUGGUACCAACAAUCCUGAUUUUGAAUUAAAAACAAUUAAGGCUCCCAUAAUGAAUGCAAUAAUUUCCAUGUAUUAUUCAAUCUCUUGAUUUUCACUUGACUUCAAUCAUUAACUGUCAUUAAUUUAUACCCUCCUUUAAACCCAAAGCUGUUACUGCGAAAUUAAAUGGAACCUAGUUAAUGCCAUAAAGAAAAACGUCUGCCAUGUGGGUGGGCAGUAUAGCUUCCUCACAUUUUAAUCUGUUUGGAAUAAAAUUCAGGGUUUCUUCUAGAAAGCAACCCGCAUAAUCCCUAAAACUUGCAAAAGAAUUUGACAAAUGGUUGCAAAGAUAGCUGUGCACGCAAUUUUAUGUUUGUGCAUGCACAGGCGAUACAGUUGAUCCGAUUGGGAUGAAAUUCACAGGGGGGCCUCUAGAAACCAACCCGUAUAAUCUCUGAAAAUUUUAUAAAAAUUGGUCUCAUGGUUUUGGAGUUUUGCCGGUUAUUGUACACAGACAGACAUGGAACCAAAUUUUUCAGAAAGGUCUGAAACUCAAAAUGCAAAUGGAAAUUUUGAUUAUGGAAGACAAUUUUUUUUUACAAGUCUUCCCUCUCUCCAGUAGUUUGCAAGCAAAAAAACAACGCUACCAAAAAUAAGGGUAAAUGUGACACCUACAGUCAAAAAUAAACAAAAACAUCUUGGCCUGGAAGAUUGUAAUUUUUGAAAUAAAUGAUGAUGUGGAAUGCAACCUUUUAUUUUCAUUUUGUAAAUGAAAGAAACACUUCUGGAGGCUCACAAUGUUUGAAUUGAAGUUAAAAGUAGAUAAUAGUAAUUUUAAAAAAAAUUACAGGUUUGUGUGGUGAUUAGUGACCGUUAAUCGAUUUCUAAAUAAAAAUUACAGGCUGUUGACUCAAAACACUAAUACAUUAUUAUGGUUUUUGUUUUCUUUUGAAUUCAACUGAUCUCAGGGUGAAUUUAAUCAUUCCAUUCCUAACUAAGAACGUUCAGUGUGAUGAAAGUAGUUGAAGAAAAACCUCAAAAACAAAAAAGAUUGACAAAGAGCUUCUGGUGAAUGUCAGGAUGUAGGAGUUAAAAUUGCACUUUUCACUCUACUUCUGAUAAAUUCUACGUUCUGGAGGCUCUUCAGGCCACUAAAGAUGAAG